AGGGUUUCGGCCUUUAACUUAGUGGCGAACGGGUGAGUAACGCGUGAAUAACCUGACUCAAAGAGGGGGAUAACAACGGGAAACUGUUGCUAAUACCGCAUGAGACCACAACACCGCAUGAUGAAGGGGUCAAAGAUUUAUCGCUUUGAGAGGGGUUCGCGUCCCAUUAGGUAGUUGGAGGGGUAACGGCCCACCAAGCCAACGAUGGGUAGCCGAGCUGAGAGGCUGAUCGGCCACACUGGAACUGAGACACGGUCCAGACUCCUACGGGAGGCAGCAGUAGGGAAUAUUGGGCAAUGGGCGCAAGCCUGACCCAGCAACGCCGCGUGAGGGAAGAAGGUUUUCGGAUUGUAAACCUCUGUCCUAUGUGACGAAGGAAGUGACGGUAGCAUAGGAGGAAGCCCCGGCUAACUACGUGCCAGCAGCCGCGGUAAUACGUAGGGGGCGAGCGUUGUCCGGAAUUACUGGGCGUAAAGGGUGCGUAGGCGGUUUGGUAAGUUGGAUGUGAAAUACACGGGCUUAACUUGGGGGCUGCAUCCAAUACUGUCGGACUUGAGUGCAGGAGAGGAAAGCGGAAUUCCUAGUGUAGCGGUGAAAUGCGUAGAUAUUAGGAGGAACACCGGUGGCGAAGGCGGCUUUCUGGACUGUAACUGACGCUGAGGCACGAAAGCGUGGGGAGCAAACAGGAUUAGAUACCCUGGUAGUCCACGCCGUAAAUGAUGAAUACUAGGUGUAGGGGGUAUAGACUCCCUCUGUGCCGCAGCAAACGCAAUAAGUAUUCCGCCUGGGGAGCACGGCCGCAAGGUUGCAACACAAAGGAAUUGACGG
This 828-nucleotide ribosomal RNA is filed under the name uncultured bacterium. RNAcentral's name for it is "bacterial SSU rRNA". It matches the Rfam family "Bacterial small subunit ribosomal RNA", at positions 74 to 916 of the family's 1533-position model. The record is from RNAcentral.